This 545-nucleotide ribosomal RNA is filed under the name uncultured archaeon. Its description in RNAcentral is "bacterial SSU rRNA". It matches the Rfam family "Archaeal small subunit ribosomal RNA", at positions 326 to 871 of the family's 1478-position model. The record is from RNAcentral.
CGGGGUGCACCAGGCGCGAAAACUUUACAAUGCUGGCAACAGCGAUAAGGGGACCUCGAGUGCCAGGAUACAAUCUUGGCUGUCGCGAUGCCUAAAAAGCAUUGCAUAGCAAGGGCCGGGCAAGACCGGUGCCAGCCGCCGCGGUAACACCGGCGGCUCGAGUGGUAACCGCUAUUAUUGGGUCUAAAGGGUCUGUAGCCGGCCGGAUAAGUCUUUUGGGAAAUCCAGCUGCUCAACAGUUGGGCUUUCAGAAGAUACUGUUCGGCUCGAGACCGGGAGAGGUGAGAGGUACUUCAGGGGUAGGGGUGAAAUCUUGUAAUCCUUGAAGGACCACCAGUGGCGAAGGCGUCUCACCAGAACGGAUCUGACGGCAAGGGACGAAAGUUAGGGGCACGAACCGGAUUAGAUACCCGGGUAGUCCUAGCCGUAAACGAUACUCGCUAGGUGUCAGCCACGGUGCGACCGUGGUUGGUGCCGUAGGGAAGCCGUGAAGCGAGCCACCUGGGAAGUACGGCCGCAAGGCUGAAACUUAAAGGAAUCGGCGG